AUAGCAAGCAAUACCAGUAAUUACUACAGUUUUUUUCUGACGCUAUGGUACUAUUCUCACAAGUAUGUGGUAAUAUUUCACUACCUUAAGUACAAAUAAACCAACAGAUCAUCAAAAAGU
Long non-coding RNA from Sander lucioperca (pikeperch), 120 nucleotides. RefSeq lists it as uncharacterized. Lineage: Eukaryota; Metazoa; Chordata; Actinopteri; Perciformes; Percidae. The transcript is spliced from 3 exons. The record is from RefSeq and is a predicted model, not a curated record.